This 496-nucleotide ribosomal RNA is filed under the name uncultured bacterium. Its description in RNAcentral is "partial 16S ribosomal RNA". It matches the Rfam family "Bacterial small subunit ribosomal RNA", at positions 29 to 507 of the family's 1533-position model. The record is from RNAcentral.
AUGAACGCUGGCGGCGUGCCUAAUACAUGCAAGUCGAGCGAACAGACGAGGAGCUUGCUCCUCUGACGUUAGCGGCGGACGGGUGAGUAACACGUGGAUAACCUACCUAUAAGACUGGGAUAACUUCGGGAAACCGGGGCUAAUACCGGAUAAUAUAUUGAACCGCAUGGUUCAAUAGUGAAAGACGGUUUUGCUGUCACUUAUAGAUGGAUCCGCGCCGCAUUAGCUAGUUGGUAAGGUAACGGCUUACCAAGGCAGCGAUGCGUAGCCGACCUGAGAGGGUGAUCGGCCACACUGGAACUGAGACACGGUCCAGACUCCUACGGGAGGCAGCAGUAGGGAAUCUUCCGCAAUGGGCGAAAGCUUGACGGAGCAACACCGCGUGAGUGAUGAAGGUCUUCGGAUCGUAAAACUCUGUUAUUAGGGAAGAACAAAUGUGUAAGUAACUAUGCACGUCUUGACGGUACCUAAUCAGAAAGCCACGGCUAACUACGUG